RNAcentral lists this ribosomal RNA (252 nucleotides) under uncultured bacterium. RNAcentral's name for it is "partial 16S ribosomal RNA". It matches the Rfam family "Bacterial small subunit ribosomal RNA", at positions 524 to 776 of the family's 1533-position model. The record is from RNAcentral.
UACGAAGGGGGCUAGCGUUGCUCGGAAUUACUGGGCGUAAAGCGCACGUAGGCGGAUUGUUAAGUCGGGGGUGAAAUCCUGGAGCUCAACUCCAGAACUGCCUUCGAUACUGGCGAUCUCGAGUUCGGGAGAGGUGAGUGGAACUGCGAGUGUAGAGGUGAAAUUCGUAGAUAUUCGCAAGAACACCAGUGGCGAAGGCGGCUCACUGGCCCGAUACUGACGCUGAGGUGCGAAAGCGUGGGGGCAAACAGG